GACGAACGCUGGCGGCGUGCUUAACACAUGCCAGUCGAACGGAACGUCCUCUUUCGGGGGGUCCCCGAUUGGCGAACGGGUGAGUAACACGUGAGUAAUCUGCCCUUGACUUUGGGAUAACUUCUGGAAACUGGUGCUAAUACCGGAUAAGAGCUCCUGCUGCAUUGUGUGGGUUGGCAAGUUUCGGCGGUUGGGGUUGGACACGCGGCUUCUCAGCUUGUUGGUGGUGUAGGGGCUUACCAAGGCUUUGGCGGGGAGCCGGCCUGAGAGGGUGACCGGGCACAUUGGGACUGAGAGACAGCCCAGACUCCGACGGGAGGGAGCAGUGGGGAAGAGUGCUCUAUGGGUGGAAGCCUGAUGCAGAACCACCGAGGGCGGGAUGACGGCCUUCGGGUUGUAGUUCGAUUUCGCUCAUGACGAAGCUUUGUGUGACGGUAGUGGGUAAAGAAGCACCGGCUAACUACGUG
Molecule: ribosomal RNA, 467 nt
Filed under: uncultured bacterium
Lineage: Bacteria
Description: partial 16S ribosomal RNA
Rfam family: Bacterial small subunit ribosomal RNA
Source: RNAcentral